AAGGGGUAAAAAGAGCUAAGCGCCCAAGAACAAAACAAAGCCAGGAAGGACAUGAUAUUGGACCAAAAGAGUUCAGAACACGACAGAGGCGUCCUCGCUAAUCCACACAGCCGCCCUCCAAGGUCAUGGCUUCAGGGAGGUCCAGCCACUCGGCAACUGAGAAUAUCUUUGCCUGCCAGGGCUGUGUGUGCUCUGAUGAAACCACGGUGUUCGCAGUAAUGUCGGGGAUGAGAAGGGCAAGUCUCAACGAGGCACGAUGUCCAGGGCUCCUGCUGGUAUUCACCACGCAGUGAUCAGCCGGACCUGGCCCGCAUCUCUGUCUCCAGGAGGGACAUUGUGACCUGACCCAUAUGGACAGCUUCAAGAACAAAGGAUUCUGACACCAAG
Non-coding RNA from Vicugna pacos (alpaca), 387 nucleotides. NCBI's taxonomy places the organism in Eukaryota, Metazoa, Chordata, Mammalia, Artiodactyla, Camelidae. The record is from RefSeq and is a predicted model, not a curated record.